Molecule: ribosomal RNA, 253 nt
Filed under: uncultured bacterium
Lineage: Bacteria
Description: partial 16S ribosomal RNA
Rfam family: Bacterial small subunit ribosomal RNA
Source: RNAcentral
UACGUAGGCAGCGAGCGUUGUUCGGAGUUACUGGGCGUAAAGAGUGCGUAGGCGGUUUUCUAAGUUUGGUGUGAAAUCUCCCGGCUCAACUGGGAGGGUGCGCCGAAGACUGGAAGGCUUGAGUAUGGGAGAGGUAAGCGGAAUUCCUGGUGUAGCGGUGAAAUGCGUAGAUAUCUGGAGGAACACCGGUGGCGAAGGCGGCAUCCUGGACCAAUUCUGACGCUGAGGAGCGAAAGCCAGGGGAGCAAACGGG